Non-coding RNA from Penaeus vannamei (Pacific white shrimp), 367 nucleotides. NCBI's taxonomy places the organism in Eukaryota, Metazoa, Arthropoda, Malacostraca, Decapoda, Penaeidae. The record is from RefSeq and is a predicted model, not a curated record.
UGACGGACAGCUGGAUGUUCUUUCCGUUGGACAGAACGACGCCAGAGGGUCCAGCGGCGGCAACAGUUACACCAGGUUCGAACUGGAUCAGCUGGCCGUCACUGGUGACGAUUCCUGAGGCUCCCACCAGAUGGCCAUAGGUGUCACGCUUACGUCUGCCGGACAGCUGGAUGUUCUUUCCAUUGGACAGAACGACUCCAGAGGGUCCAGCGGAGGCAACAGUUACACCAGGUUCGAACUGGAUCAGCUGGCCGUCACUGGUGACGAUUCCUGAGGCUCCCACAAGAUGGCCAUAGGUGUCACGCUUCUGGACGAAGUGGAGGUCGUCGGUCAGCUGGAUGUUGGAGCCGUCCUUGGUGACGAUGCC